GAUGAACGCUGGCGGCGUGCCUAAUACAUGCAAGUCGAGCGAACAGACGAGGAGCUUGCUCCUCUGACGUUAGCGGCGGACGGGUGAGUAACACGUGGAUAACCUACCUAUAAGACUGGGAUAACUUCGGGAAACCGGAGCUAAUACCGGAUAAUAUAUUGAACCGCGUGGUUCAAUAGUGAAAGACGGUUUUACUGUCACUUAUAGAUGGAUCCGCGCCUCAGUAGCUAGUUGGUAAGGUAACGGCUUACCAAGGCGACGAUGCGUAGCCGACCUGAGAGGGUGAUCGGCCACACUGGAACUGAGACACGGUCCAGACUCCUACGGGAGGCAGCAGUAGGGAAUCUUCCGCAAUGGGCGAAAGCCUGACGGAGCAACGCCGCGUGAGUGAUGAAGGUCUUCGGAUCGUAAAACUCUGUUAUUAGGGAAGAACAAAUGUGUAAGUAACUAUGCACGUCUUGACGGUACCUAAUCAGAAAGCCACGGCUAACUACGUG
RNAcentral lists this ribosomal RNA (497 nucleotides) under uncultured bacterium. RNAcentral's name for it is "partial 16S ribosomal RNA". It matches the Rfam family "Bacterial small subunit ribosomal RNA", at positions 28 to 507 of the family's 1533-position model. The record is from RNAcentral.